GACGAACGCUGGCGGCGUGCUUAACACAUGCAAGUCGAACGGAAAGGCCCUGCUUUUGUGGGGUGCUCGAGUGGCGAACGGGUGAGUAAAACGUGAGUAACCUGCCCUUGACUUUCGGAUAACUUCUGGAAACUGGGGCUCAUACCCGAUAGGAGCUCCUGCUGCAUGUUGGGGGUUGGAAAGUGUCGGCGGUUGGGGAUGGUCUGGCGGCUUAUCAGCUUGAUGGUGGGGUAGUGGCUUACCAAGGCUUUGACGGGUAGCAGGCCUGAGAGGGUGACCGGCGACAUUGGGACUGAGGUGAGGCCCAGACUGCUACGGGAGGCAGCAGGGGGGAAGAUUGCAGAAUGGGCGGAAGCCUGGUGCAGAAACGCCGCGUGCGGGAUGACGGCCUUCGGGUGGUAAACCGCUUUCGCCUGUGACGAAGCGUGAGUGACGGUAAUGGGUAAAGAAGCACCGGCUAACUACGUG
Molecule: ribosomal RNA, 468 nt
Filed under: uncultured bacterium
Lineage: Bacteria
Description: partial 16S ribosomal RNA
Rfam family: Bacterial small subunit ribosomal RNA
Source: RNAcentral